RNAcentral lists this ribosomal RNA (275 nucleotides) under uncultured Armatimonas sp. RNAcentral describes it as "partial 16S ribosomal RNA". It matches the Rfam family "Bacterial small subunit ribosomal RNA", at positions 338 to 626 of the family's 1533-position model. Lineage: Bacteria; Bacillati; Armatimonadota; Armatimonadia; Armatimonadales; Armatimonadaceae. The record is from RNAcentral.
CCUACGGGUGGCUGCAAUUAGGAAUCUUGCGCAAUGGACGAAAGUCUGACGCAGCGACGCCGCGUGAGGGAUGACGGAUUUCGGUCUGUAAACCUCUUUUGACAGGGAAGAAGAAUGUGACGGUACCUGUCGAAUAAGCCCCGGCUAACUACGUGCCAGCAGCCGCGGUAAUACGUAGGGGGCGAGCGUUGUCCGAAGUUACUGGGCGUAAAGCGCGCGUAGGCGGUUACUUAAGUCUGGGGUGAAAGGUUCAGCGCUCAACGUGAACAUUGCCU